Molecule: ribosomal RNA, 429 nt
Filed under: bacterium
Lineage: Bacteria
Description: partial 16S ribosomal RNA
Rfam family: Bacterial small subunit ribosomal RNA
Source: RNAcentral
UAGGGAAUCUUCCACAAUGGACGCAAGUCUGAUGGAGCAACGCCGCGUGAGUGAAGAAGGUUUUCGGAUCGUAAAGCUUUGUUGUUGGUGAAGAAGGAUAGAGGCAGUAACUGGUCUUUAUUUGACGGUAAUCAACCAGAAAGUCACGGCUAACUACGUGCCAGCAGCCGCGGUAAUACGUAGGUGGCAAGCGUUGUCCGGAUUUAUUUGGCGUAAAGCGAGCUCAGGCGGAAUGAUAAGUCUGAUGUGAAAGCCCACGGCUCAACCGAGGACCUGCAUCGGAACAAGUCAUUCUUGAGUGCAGAAGAGGAGAGUGGAGUUCCAUGUGUAGCGGUGGAAUGCGUAGAUAUAUGGAAGAACACCAGUGGCGAAGGCGGCUCUCUGGUCUGCAACUGACGCUGAGGCUCGAAAGCAUGGGUAGCGAACAGG